RNAcentral lists this ribosomal RNA (497 nucleotides) under uncultured bacterium. Its description in RNAcentral is "partial 16S ribosomal RNA". It matches the Rfam family "Bacterial small subunit ribosomal RNA", at positions 28 to 507 of the family's 1533-position model. The record is from RNAcentral.
GAUGAACGCUGGCGGCGUGCCUAAUACAUGCAAGUCGAGCGAACAGACGAGGAGCUUGCUCCUCUGACGUUAGCGGCGGACGGGUGAGUAACACGUGGAUAACCUACCUAUAAGACUGGGAUAACUUCGGGAAACCGGAGCUAAUACCGGAUAAUAUAUUGAACCGCAUGGUUCAAUAGUUAAAGACGGUUUUGCUGUCACUUAUAGAUGGAUCCUCGCCGCAUUAGCUAGUUGGUAAGGUAACGGCUUACCAAGGCGACGAUGCGUAGCCGACCUGAGAGGGUGAUCGGCCACACGGGAACUGAGACACGGUCCAGACUCCUACGGGAGGCAGCAGUAGGGAAUCUUCCGCAAUGGGCGAAAGCCUGACGGAGCAACGCCGCGUGAGUGAUGAAGGUCUUCGGAUCGUAAAACUCUGUUAUUAGGGAAGAACAAAUGUGUAAGUAACUAUGCACGUCUUGACGGUACCUAAUCAGAAAGCCACGGCUAACUACGUG